AGCGAACGCUGGCGGCAGGCUUAACACAUGCAAGUCGAACGGAUCCUUCGGGAUCAGUGGCAGACGGGUGAGUAACACGUGGGAACGUGCCUUUUGGUUCGGAACAACUCAGGGAAACUUGAGCUAAUACCGGAUGUGCCCUUCGGGGGAAAGACUUAUCGCCAUUAGAGCGGCCCGCGUCUGAUUAGCUAGUUGGUGAGGUAAUGGCUCACCAAGGCGACGAUCAGAGCUGGUCUGAGAGGAUGACCAGCCUCAUUGGGACUGAGACACGGCCCAAACUCCUACGGGAGGCAGCAGUGGGGAAUAUUGGACAAUGGGCGCAAGCCUGAUCCAGCCAUGCCGCGUGAGUGAUGAAGGCC
This 359-nucleotide ribosomal RNA is filed under the name uncultured bacterium. RNAcentral's name for it is "bacterial SSU rRNA". It matches the Rfam family "Bacterial small subunit ribosomal RNA", at positions 29 to 416 of the family's 1533-position model. The record is from RNAcentral.